GGGGAAUAUUGCACAAUGGGCGCAAGCCUGACGCAGCGACGCCGGCGUGAGGGAUGACGGCCUUCGGGUUGUAAACCUCUUCGCCAGGGACGAAGCGCAAGUGACGGUACCUGGAGAAGAAGCACCGGCCAACCACGUGCCAGCAGCCGCGGUAAUACGUAGGGUCCGAGCGUUGUCCGGAACUACUGGGCGUAAAGAGCUCGUAGGUGGUUUGUCGCGUUGUUCGUGAAAACUCACAGCUUAACUGUGGGCGUGCGGGCGAUACGGGCAGACUUGAGGUACUGCAGGGGAGACUGGAAUUCCUGGUGUAGCGGUGGAAUGCGCAGAUAUCAGGAGGAACACCGGUGGCGAAGGCGGGUCUCUGGGCAGUAACUGACGCUGAGGAGCGAAAGCGUGGGGAGCGAACAGGAUUAGAUACCCUGGUAGUCCACGCCGUAAACGGGGGUACUAGGUGUGGGUUUCCUUCCUUGGGAUCCGUGCCGUAGCUAACGCAUUAAGUACCCCGCCUGGGGAGUACGGCCGCAAGGCUAAAACUCAAAGAAAUUGACGGGGGCCCGCACAAGCGGCGGAGCAUGUGGAUUAAUUCGAUCAACGCGAAGAACCUUACCUGGGUUUGACAUGCACAGGACGCCGGCAGAGAUGUCGGUUCCCUUGUGGCCUGUGUGCAGGUGGUGCAUGGCUGUCGUCAGCUCGUGUCGUGAGAUGUUGGGUUAAGUCCCGCAACGAGCGCAACCCUUGUCUCAUGUUGCCAGCACGUUAUGGUGGGGACUCGUGAGAGACUGCCGGGGUCAACUCGGAGGAAGGUGGGGAUGACGUCAAGUCAUCAUGCCCCUUAUGUCCAGGGCUUCACACAUGCUACAAUGGCCGGUACAAAGGGCUGCGAUGCCGUGAGGUGGAGCGAAUCCUUUCAAAGCCGGUCUCAGUUCGGAUCGGGGUCUGCAACUCGACCCCGUGAAGUGGGAGUCGCUAGUAAUCGCAGAUCAGCAACGCUGCGGUGAAUACGUUCCCGGGCCUUGUACACACCGCCCGUCACGUCAUGAAUGUCGGUAACACCCG
RNAcentral lists this ribosomal RNA (1056 nucleotides) under Mycolicibacterium sp. Its description in RNAcentral is "bacterial SSU rRNA". It matches the Rfam family "Bacterial small subunit ribosomal RNA", at positions 356 to 1423 of the family's 1533-position model. Lineage: Bacteria; Bacillati; Actinomycetota; Actinomycetes; Mycobacteriales; Mycobacteriaceae. The record is from RNAcentral.